This 411-nucleotide long non-coding RNA is filed under the name Linum usitatissimum (flax). RNAcentral describes it as "long non-coding RNA (LUSI_LNC001479)". The record is from RNAcentral. Lineage: Eukaryota; Viridiplantae; Streptophyta; Magnoliopsida; Malpighiales; Linaceae.
CGCCAUUGCUUGGUGAAAAGAAUUCAUUAGUGGAUAAUCCCGACCUCGUAAAAUUUGAACCUCCAGUUAAAUGUAAGUUCCUUGCUCUCUUACUUUGAAGCACUUUUUUUCCUGCAGAUGCAUAAUCUUUUGCAUCAAGCUUAAUGUCCACGAGUUCCGUUUGCUAUUCUUUAGCAUGCAUGUGAUAUGGUAAUGUCCCAUUACCUACUCGGGCAGAGCUGCCAGAACUAAUCUCAUUUUCGAUAAUAAUCUGAGCGUGGAGUGAUGUAGGCUACUGUCAAGUAUGAUGUUGAAAAAAAUACUCGGAACAACUUAGAGAAGUCCUAUAACAUGCUGGAUUUAGAUUCUUGAAAUUAUUUUCUUAGAAUUCGAAACGGGAGUAUCGAGGCAAAUGUUUUGAAGCAAGACCCG